RNAcentral lists this ribosomal RNA (292 nucleotides) under uncultured bacterium. Its description in RNAcentral is "partial 16S ribosomal RNA". It matches the Rfam family "Bacterial small subunit ribosomal RNA", at positions 505 to 796 of the family's 1533-position model. The record is from RNAcentral.
GUGUCAGCAGCCGCGGUAAUACAGAGGGUGCAAGCGUUAAUCGGAAUUACUGGGCGUAAAGGGCGUGUAGGUGGCCAUUUAAGUCUGAUGUGAAAGCCCUGGGCUCAACCUGGGAAUCGCGUUGGAAACUGAGAGGCUAGAGUUUAAGAGAGGGUCGUGGAAUUUCCGGUGUAGCGGUGAAAUGCGUAGAGAUCGGAAAGAACACCAGUGGCGAAGGCGGCGACCUGGCUUGAAACUGACACUGAGGCGCGAAAGCAUGGGGAGCAAACAGGAUUAGAUACCCUGGUAGUCC